CCUACGGGAGGCAGCAGUAGGGAAUAUUGCACAAUGGGGGAAACCCUGAAGCAGCAACGCCGCGUGGAGGAUGAAGGUUUUCGGAUUGUAAACUCCUUUUGUUAGAGAAGAUAAUGACAGUAUCUAACGAAUAAGCACCGGCUAAUUCCGUGCCAGCAGCCGCGGUAAUACGGAGGGUGCAAGCGUUACUCGGAAUCACUGGGCGUAAAGUGCGCGGAGGCGGGAUAGCAAGUCAGAUGUGAAAUCCUAUGGCUAAACCAGAGAACUGCAUCUGAUACUGUUAUUCUAGAGUAUGGGAGAGGUGGGUGGAAUUCUAGGUGUAGCGGUAAAAUGCGUAGAGAUCAAGAGGAAUACUCAUUGCGAAGGCGACCUGCUGGAACAAAACUGACGCUGAUGCGCGAAAGCGUGGGGAGCAAACAGGAUUAGAUACCCUAGUAGUC
This 440-nucleotide ribosomal RNA is filed under the name uncultured bacterium. RNAcentral's name for it is "partial 16S ribosomal RNA". It matches the Rfam family "Bacterial small subunit ribosomal RNA", at positions 338 to 795 of the family's 1533-position model. The record is from RNAcentral.